Molecule: long non-coding RNA, 2518 nt
Filed under: Mus musculus (house mouse)
Lineage: Eukaryota; Metazoa; Chordata; Mammalia; Rodentia; Muridae
Description: long non-coding RNA chr12:89688795-89691313
Source: RNAcentral
AUAAUAGCCUCUUGUCCUCUAGACUGACUUCUCACUAAUACUGUGGCAAGAUGUUUAGAAUUGGGAUAUAGCAAAGAUUCUCUGAGACUGAAGGAACAACCCAAGGAAGAAAGAGCAUCUCCAAUGCUGAGAUACUGUAGUAGAAUUACAUAGCCAUGCCUGCUCUUUAAUCUGCUGUUGUGGCUAUUUGGAGAACAUGAACUCUCAAGAAUAGGCAGGUAUCCCACUAAAAAGAUAAGGCAUCAGUCUCUUGUUGCUAUGCCUCUGGAUUCUGCCUGCUCCCAGCUUAGAAAGGAAGGGCUUAUCCUAAAGUUCUGAAACAUUUACUGCUUGUCUCAAUAGGUAGAUUUUCAAUUAGGUCCCAUCUUCUCACCAUCUGUUAUUUCUGCAGUAUUUUGGCCUUCCUCUGGAGGAAGGUGACAGGAGACUGUUCUGUUCCUGCAGAAAAUUUGCUUGUCAUCAGAGUCACUGCGUGCUGUUGAAACAGCUACUGCCUACAUCGCUCUGCCUCUUGAAAGCUAGCAUUUGGGUGUGAAUCAAUUAUGAAAAGCGAUGCACACCGCCCCUGCACAUGAGCUUACACAUACACCCCACCUGAGAGCCCGAGACAUAGCGCUAAUGUCUGGAAUCGUGAACAUUCAUGCAGAGUACUUCAAACAAUACUAAAAACCCAGCCACUUUAAAGAGUGUGUGAGUAACCAUAGAAAUCCAGUGUUAUAUAAACCAGUUCUAAUAAAAUAAUUCAGAUCUUCUUAGUGCUUUAUAGUUUGGCAACAGUGCUUUUAUAUUUAUUUCCCCUUUUCCAUCUAUAAAUAUUACACGGGCUAUGAUCUAUUUUUCUACUCCAAGAAAGUAAAAAACCCAAAGGGUUAGCCCCAAGUGUCACAGUCCAGAAAAAAUGGCAACACUAUUAAAUUCAUGCUUUAAAUUGCACUUUUCUUUUCUUUUUUUCCUCCCUAUUUUCUGCCAUCUAUUUUCGUAGACAUCAGGGUAUAGGUAACUUUACUCCCUCAAAGGAGCAGAUCAAAAGGACCCAUGUAAGUUUGACCCUUAGAAGUUCACAUUGGCAUUUCAUUAUCAUUGGAGAAGGCCAACCAUUCUUCCUGGUAAGUCUUGUGUUAAAGACCUCUCACCCUCAGUCCAAAUAUCUCUCUAGAAAGUAAAAUGGUAGCCUUCUUGCAAAGCAAAACACUUUGCUAGGCAGAUACUUUGAAAAAAAUCUAAGAAUUGUCAAUAAAUAAUACUUUACUAAAUAUUGUAUUUAAUAUUAUAUUUAUAUUUAUUCUUGGAUGAUUUUUUAAUAAAUAUACAAAGUAUUUUGACUAUAUUCACCCCCUAUUUCCUAACUCAAAAUUCUCUUGGAUACAACCUCUCUCAAAUUCUACUCCCAAGUUCACAUCUUCUUAUUUUUAGUAUUAGUAAAGCAUUGAGCUCAAAUAGAGAUAUGUGUACAUGCAUGUAGGAUCAUCUACUAGACAUGGUCAACCUACCAGCGACCACACCCUGAAAUACAAUUGACUCUUCUUCCUUAGUAGUCAGUAGCUCAUUUGCUAGGGGUAGUGGGUCAUGAUGGUAUUUUUAAAUUUUUAUUGUAAAGAAUUUAUAAAGAGUGGUUAUUAUGCUGUAGAGAGGACUGAAGUGAUUGAAAAUGAGUUACUACGGAAUUCUGUGACAUCUGAAGGAUGGGGUAUGAUAGACAUGUAAAGCUUAAUGGCCGAAAUCACUAAGGUCAUUGUCUAAUUGGGAUUUAUAGGACUAAAGCUUGAUCCAAGUUACAAAUUUUGGGGCAGAAAUCAUUGGGCAGAAUUUGAAUGACUGAUUGCACAUCUUGUUAAAAAACCAUCACUAGGGAAUGUUAGGAGGCAGAAGGUAAUGAUGGAGAUGGAACUUCUCUGAAACAUCAGGACAGAAAAUGUUCUGAAACAGGAAGCAAAAUCCCUGUUAUAACACUCAGGUGUAUAUAAGUUAAAGAAAAAGGAACAAAGCUACUUCCAAAGCACAGGCAAUUAGAAACACCAUCAUGGUCAGAGGCCACUAGUAGUGAUCUUUGAAGAACUUUAAUAAUCCUCAUCAUCUCAUCAUUUACUUAAUACUUCUUAUCUGUUAUCAAGGCCAAUGGCUUCAUCAAUACCAAUUUAACUGUGUCUCUGAAUGAGUAAUGAUAAAAUUGUGAGGAGAACAAUCUAACAUGUCUAGAUAACUGUCCAAAAAUCAUCUCUGCAUCUUCCUUGAAACAUGAAUGUGACAAAUGAUCUCCAUGGAAGGGUUCAUUUAAUGACUUUCAACUGUGAAGAAUGUAGAUUUUUUUGUUUUUUGGUGUUUUUUUUUUUUUUUUUGGUUUGGUUGGGUUUUUUUAUUUUGUUUUGUUUUGUUUUUUGUAAUGUUCCUAUAUCUUAUCACAGGAACUCUCCAGGAGUUCUCUUGGUCAGCCAGUCAGUAGUGACAUGUGUAUAUCUAUUCCUGUACAAAUAGUCCUGAAUCACAUGUGCAUUGAUUCCCAGUAUAUUCUGUGGUAACG